ACAUAACUGACAAUCAUGUUCAACACCUAUGCCUUCCUUCAGGAUAAAAGCAUUUAAAAGCACUGCCUUUUGGGGAGGAGUUAAUAAGCCAUUUUAUGCUGCGGUUCAUCAGUUCAUCGUUUACUAGGCAAGAGAUUGGAUGACACCUGAUUCGGGCUCAUUUUCAGCCAGCAAGAAUACCACAAGAACGUUGACAGAGAGAAGUUUCAUUUCUCUCCAAGCCUGAUGGUGAGAAAUGCACAUGAAGCUCAGACUUGAAUCCAAGGACCCUGCCUAGAUUUCUGUACCAGGGACCACCCUGAAGAUACACCCUCUACUCUAUCUCUAAACACAGGCUACCAGGAUCUGCUUGGGCAACAUGUGAUGUCAUCAUAAAUCACCCCCCCACACACAC
This is a long non-coding RNA of Mastomys coucha (southern multimammate mouse), 394 nucleotides long. RefSeq lists it as uncharacterized. The record is from RefSeq and is a predicted model, not a curated record. The transcript is spliced from 3 exons. NCBI's taxonomy places the organism in Eukaryota, Metazoa, Chordata, Mammalia, Rodentia, Muridae.